CCGAGUGAGGGCCCUCUGGGUCCAACCUCCCACCCGUGUUUAUCGUACCUUGUUGCUUCGGUGGGCCCGCCACUUGUGGCCGCCGGGGGGCACCUGCCCCCGGGCCCGCGCCCGCCGAAGACACCAUUGAACGCUGUAUGAAGAUUGCAGUCUGAGCUUAUUAGCUAAAUUAGUUA
RNAcentral lists this unclassified non-coding RNA (176 nucleotides) under uncultured fungus. RNAcentral describes it as "sequence contains ITS1, 5.8S rRNA gene". Lineage: Eukaryota; Fungi. The record is from RNAcentral.